GCUGGCGGCGUCCUUAACACAUGCAAGUCGAACGGGAUCCAUCAGGCUUUGCUUGGUGGUGAGAGUGGCGAACGGGUGAGUAAUGCGUGACCGACCUGCCCCAUACACCGGAAUAGCUCCUGGAAACGGGUGGUAAUGCCGGAUGCUCCAGUUGAUCGCAUGGUCUUCUGGGAAAGCUUUCGCGGUAUGGGAUGGGGUCGCGUCCUAUCAGCUUGACGGCGGGGUAACGGCCCACCGUGGCUUCGACGGGUAGCCGGCCUGAGAGGGCGACCGGCCACAUUGGGACUGAGAUACGGCCCAGACUCCUACGGGAGGCAGCAGUGGGGAAUAUUGCACAAUGGGCGCAAGCCUGAUGCAGCGACGCCGCGUGAGGGAUGGAGGCCUUCGGGUUGUAAACCUCUUUUAUCGGGGAGCAAGCGAGAGUGAGUUUACCCGUUGAAUAAGCACCGGCUAACUACGUGCCAGCAGCCGCGGUAAUACGUAGGGUGCAAGCGUUAUCCGGAAUUAUUGGGCGUAAAGGGCUCGUAGGCGGUUCGUCGCGUCCGGUGUGAAAGUCCAUCGCUUAACGGUGGAUCCGCGCCGGGUACGGGCGGGCUUGAGUGCGGUAGGGGAGACUGGAAUUCCCGGUGUAACGGUGGAAUGUGUAGAUAUCGGGAAGAACACCAAUGGCGAAAGCAGGUCUCUGGGCCGUUACUGGA
This 698-nucleotide ribosomal RNA is filed under the name Bifidobacterium longum subsp. infantis. Its description in RNAcentral is "bacterial SSU rRNA". It matches the Rfam family "Bacterial small subunit ribosomal RNA", at positions 35 to 744 of the family's 1533-position model. Lineage: Bacteria; Bacillati; Actinomycetota; Actinomycetes; Bifidobacteriales; Bifidobacteriaceae. The record is from RNAcentral.